Molecule: long non-coding RNA, 787 nt
Filed under: Sinocyclocheilus anshuiensis
Lineage: Eukaryota; Metazoa; Chordata; Actinopteri; Cypriniformes; Cyprinidae
Description: lncRNA (ENSSANG00000043203.1)
Source: RNAcentral
GUGUGUUAUAAAGCUUCAUGGCUUGUUUAUACUCUGAUAUCCAAACAAAAAGUGUGUGAAGCUCGGGACGUUUCAUGCACGUGACGAGCGGGCGGUGCAGAGUUUUCCUCUGGAUGAGCAUCUGUUUGCCAAAUACAUCAAGAUCAGCCUCCUGAUUUUGUGCCAGUCGAUGACAAAUCCUCCAGAAACCUGAUCAGAUCUGCCAGAGGUACAGUUCGAUGAGACUUAAAGGAUACAGAAAGCAGGUGGAGGAGAUGCAGAGAGCCUUUAACAAAACCAUCAUCAAGCUCCAGAACACCUCCAGAAUGGCCGAGGAGCAGGUCAAAGACAUCUUGAGUCUAAACUCAUUCAGACCAAACCUGGACUGAUGCGUUAGUUCAAUCCAGGAUCCUCCUGUUGGAGAAUCUGUUUAGACAUGAUGACGUGAAGAUCAGCAUUGGUUUCUUCUGUUGUGUAGCUCGAUUUAGUAAAAGGAUCAGAGGCAGACGGACUGCAUCCAGGCUCUGAGGCUCAGCUGGAGAACGUGACGCAGCUCGUCCUCAGUCUGUCUGUCAGCGUGAGUCGACUGCAGCGAGAGGUGUCUGACAGGCAGACCUACAUCCUGCUGUGUCUGCUUCUGUGUUCUUCUGGGGCUGCUGAUCUGUGUGAACUACCGUCAGAUAUCAGAGAGUCCUGCUGUCGAUUCACCGAGAUCCUGCGGACUGGACAGGUGAGGAGACGACCAUCAGGGGUUUACACUAUAGUGACCAGCUCCUGCAACAGGACUGAUGUGAUCAGUCGCAGGUAA